This 422-nucleotide ribosomal RNA is filed under the name Theileria sp. RNAcentral's name for it is "SSU rRNA". It matches the Rfam family "Eukaryotic small subunit ribosomal RNA", at positions 440 to 901 of the family's 1831-position model. Lineage: Eukaryota; Apicomplexa; Aconoidasida; Piroplasmida; Theileriidae. The record is from RNAcentral.
AUUACCCAAUCCUGACACAGGGAGGUAGUGACAAGAAAUAACAAUACGGGGCUUAACGUCUUGUAAUUGGAAUGAUGGGAAUCUAAACCUCUUCCAGAGUAUCAAUUGGAGGGCAAGUCUGGUGCCAGCAGCCGCGGUAAUUCCAGCUCCAAUAGCGUAUAUUAAAAUUGUUGCAGUUAAAAAGCUCGUAGUUGAAUUUCUGCCGCCCCGCCUCUGCCCCUCGACGGGCGUUUGCGCCGCGGCUUUUUCGGAUUAUGCUUGCAUUUUCCGAGUGUUACUUUGAGAAAAUUAGAGUGCUCAAAGCAGGCUUUUGCCUUGAAUAGUUUAGCAUGGAAUAAUAGAGUAGGACUUUGGUUCUAUUUUGUUGGUUUUAGGUACCAAAGUAAUGGUUAAUAGGAACAGUUGGGGGCAUUCGUAUUUAA